Molecule: ribosomal RNA, 301 nt
Filed under: uncultured bacterium
Lineage: Bacteria
Description: partial 16S ribosomal RNA
Rfam family: Bacterial small subunit ribosomal RNA
Source: RNAcentral
CAGCCGCCGCGGUAACACGUAGGUGGCAAGCAUUGUCCGGAAUUAUUGGGCGUAAAGGGCUCGCAGGCGGUUUCUUAAGUCUGAUGUGAAAGCCCCCGGCUCAACCGGGGAGGGUCAUUGGAAACUGGGGAACUUGAGUGCAGAAGAGGAGAGUGGAAUUCCACGUGUAGCGGUGAAAUGCGUAGAGAUGUGGAGGAACACCAGUGGCGAAGGCGACUCUCUGGUCUGUAACUGACGCUGAGGAGCGAAAGCGUGGGGAGCGGACAGGAUUAGAUACCCCUGUAGUCCCUGUCUCUUAUAC